GACGAACGCUGGCGGCGUGCCUAACACAUGCAAGUCGAACGGAGUAAUUUCUUCGGAGGUUACUUAGUGGCGAACGGGUGAGUAACGCGUGAGAAACCUGCCUUUCAGUGGGGGACAACAGUUGGAAACGACUGCUAAUACCGCAUAAUGUUAUUUGGGGGCAUCCCCGAAUAACCAAAGCUUUAUGUGCUGAAAGAUGGUCUCGCGUCUGAUUAGCUAGAUGGCGGGGUAACGGCCCACCAUGGCGACGAUCAGUAGCCGGUCUGAGAGGAUGAACGGCCACAUUGGGACUGAGAUACGGCCCAGACUCCUACGGGAGGCAGCAGUGGGGAAUAUUGCACAAUGGGGGAAACCCUGAUGCAGCAACGCCGCGUGAGUGAAGAAGUAUUUCGGUAUGUAAAGCUCUAUCAGCAGGGAAGAAAAUGACGGUACCUGACUAAGAAGCCCCGGCUAACUACGUGCCAGCAGCCGCGGU
This 475-nucleotide ribosomal RNA is filed under the name uncultured bacterium. Its description in RNAcentral is "bacterial SSU rRNA". It matches the Rfam family "Bacterial small subunit ribosomal RNA", at positions 28 to 521 of the family's 1533-position model. The record is from RNAcentral.